CCCCCUACUCCUACGGGAGGCAGCAGUAGGGAAUCUUCCACAAUGGGCGAAAGCUUGAUGGAGCAACGCCGCGUGAGUGAAGAAGGAUUUCGGUUCGUAAAACUCUGUUGUAAGGGAAGAACAAGUACCAGUAGUAACUGGCUGUACCUUGACGGUACCUUAUUAGAAAGCCACGGCUAACUACGUGCCAGCAGCCGCGGUAAUACGUAGGUGGCAAGCGUUGUCCGGAAUUAUUGGGCGUAAAGCGCGCGCAGGUGGUUUCUUAAGUCUGAUGUGAAAGCCCCACGGCUCAACCGUGGAGGGUCAUUGGAAACUGGGAGACUUGAGUGCAGAAGAGGAUAGUGGAAUUCCAAGUGUAGCGGUGAAAUGCGUAGAGAUUUGGAGGAACCACCAGUGGCGAAGGCGACUAUCUGGUCUGUAACUGACACUGAGGCGCGAAAGCGUGGGGAGCAAACAGGAUUAGAUACCCUGGUAGUCCACGCCGUAAACGAUGAGUGCUAAGUGUUAGGGGGUUUCCGCCCCUUAGUGCUGCAGCUAACGCAUUAAGCACUCCGCCUGGGGAGUACGGUCGCAAGACUGAAACUCAAAGGAAUUGACGGGGGCCCGCACAAGCGGUGGAGCAUGUGGUUUAAUUGGAAGCAACGCGAAGAACCUUACCAGGUCUUGACAUCCCGUUGACCACUGUAGAGAUAUGUUCCCCCUCGG
Molecule: ribosomal RNA, 705 nt
Filed under: Lysinibacillus sp.
Lineage: Bacteria; Bacillati; Bacillota; Bacilli; Caryophanales; Bacillaceae
Description: bacterial SSU rRNA
Rfam family: Bacterial small subunit ribosomal RNA
Source: RNAcentral